This 203-nucleotide long non-coding RNA is filed under the name Elaeis guineensis (African oil palm). RNAcentral's name for it is "long non-coding RNA (EGUI_LNC045363)". Lineage: Eukaryota; Viridiplantae; Streptophyta; Magnoliopsida; Arecales; Arecaceae. The record is from RNAcentral.
GUUUUCUCCUCUUGUUUCCGCCUCUCUUCCCUUGGGCAUGGAUCCAUCUUGGACAUCCUACCAGCUGAUGUGAGGUGUCACCCGAUAUAUUUCAUCCCUCGAUUGAUUGAGUUGCAAAGAUAAUUGGAUUGGAGUUCAUCCUACUUUCCUGCGGCAUCUGACGUGCAUGCGAAGUAGAGGGUCUGCACAUUUAGACCUCUGUG